Molecule: ribosomal RNA, 497 nt
Filed under: uncultured bacterium
Lineage: Bacteria
Description: partial 16S ribosomal RNA
Rfam family: Bacterial small subunit ribosomal RNA
Source: RNAcentral
GAUGAACGCUGGCGGCGUGCCUAAUACAUGCAAGUCGAGCGAACAGACGAGGAGCUUGCUCCUCUGACGUUAGCGGCGGACGGGUGAGUAACACGUGGAUAACCUACCUAUAAGACUGGGAUAACUUCGGGAAACCGGAGCUAAUACCGGAUAACAUGUUGAACCGCAUGGUUCAACAGUGAAAGACGGUUUUGCUGUCACUUAUAGAUGGAUCCGCGUCGCAUUAGCUAGUUGGUAAGGUAACGGCUUACCAAGGCAACGAUGCGUAGCCGACCUGAGAGGGUGAUCGGCCACACUGGAACUGAGACACGGUCCAGACUCCUACGGGAGGCAGCAGUAGGGAAUCUUCCGCAAUGGGCGAAAGCCUGACGGAGCAACGCCGCGUAAGUGAAGAAGGUCUUCGGAUCGUAAAACUCUGUUAUUAGGGAAGAACAAAUGUGUAAGUAACUAUGCACGUCUUGACGGUACCUAAUCAGAAAGCCACGGCUAACUACGUG